This 459-nucleotide ribosomal RNA is filed under the name uncultured bacterium. Its description in RNAcentral is "partial 16S ribosomal RNA". It matches the Rfam family "Bacterial small subunit ribosomal RNA", at positions 338 to 795 of the family's 1533-position model. The record is from RNAcentral.
CCUACGGGAGGCAGCAGUGAGGAAUAUUGGUCAAUGGGCGGGAGCCUGAACCAGCCAAGCCGCGUGAGGGAAGAAGGUACAGCGUAUCGUAAACCUCUUCUGUCAGGGAACAAAGGCGGGGACUAGUCCCCGGAUGAGGGUACCUGAAGAAAAAGCAUCGGCUAACUCCGUGCCAGCAGCCGCGGUAAUACGGAGGAUGCGAGCGUUAUCCGGAUUUACUGGGUUUAAAGGGUGCGCAGGCGGCCUGUUAAGUCAGCGGUAAAAGCCCGGGGCUCAACCCCUGCGAGCGGUUGAAACUGGCGGGCUGGAGUUGGAGAGAGGUACGCGGAAUGCGCGGUGUAGCGGUGAAAUGCUUAGAUAUCGCGCAGAACCCCGAUUGCGAAGGCAGCGUACCGGCUCCAAACUGACGCUGAGGCACGAAAGCGUGGGUAGCGAACAGGAUUAGAUACCCCAGUAGUC